CGGCCCAGACUCCUACGGGAGGCAGCAGUGGGGAAUUUUGCACAAUGGACGCAAGUCUGAUGCAGCGACGCCGCGUGAGGGAUGGAGGCCUUCGGGUUGUGAACCUCUUUCGCUCAUGGCCAAGCCUCAGCAGUGGGUUGGGGUGAGGGUAGUGGGUAAAGAAGCGCCGGCUAACUACGUGCCAGCAGCCGCGGUAAUACGUAGGGCGCGAGCGUUGUCCGGAAUUAUUGGGCGUAAAGGGCUUGUAGGCGGCUUGUCGCGUCUGCCGUGAAAUCCUCUGGCUUAACUGGGGGCGUGCGGUGGGUACGGGCUGGCUUGAGUGCGGUAGGGGAGACUGGAAUUCCUGGUGUAGCGGUGGAAUGCGCAGAUAUCAGGAGGAACACCGGUGGCGAAGGCGGGUCUCUGGGCCGUUACUGACGCUGAGGAGCGAAAGCGUGGGGAGCGAACAGGAUUAGAUACCCUGGUAGUCCAUGCUGUAAACGUUGGGCACUAGGUGUGGGGGCCACCCGUGGUUUCUGCGCCGUAGCUAACGCUUUAAGUGCCCCGCCUGGGGAGUACGGCCGCAAGGCUAAAACUCAAAGGAAUUGACGGGGGCCCGCACAAGCGGCGGAGCAUGCGGAUUAAUUCGAUGCAACGCGAAGAACCUUACCAAGGCUUGACAUGCACCCAGAGCUUGCAGAGAUGUGAGUGCUUUUGGUUGGGGGUGUGCAGGUGGUGCAUGGUUGUCGUCAGCUCGUGUCGUGAGAUGUUGGGUUAAGUCCCGCAACGAGCGCAACCCUUGCCCUAUGUUGCCAGCGCGUUAUGGUGGGGACUCGUGGGGGACUGCCGGGGUUAACUCGGAGGAAGGUGGGGAUGACGUCAAAUCAUCAUGCCCCUUAUGUCUUGGGCUUCACGCAUGCUACAAUGGCUGGUACAGAGGGUUGCGAUACUGUGAGGUGGAGCGAAUCCCUUAAAGCUGGUCUCAGUUCGGAUUGGGGUCUGCAACUCGACCCCAUGAAGGUGGAGUCGCUAGUAAUCGCAGAUCAGCAACGCUGCGGUGAAUACGUUCUCGGGCCUUGUACACACCGCCCGUCACGUCACGAAAGUUGGUAACACCCGAAGCUCAUGGCCUAACCG
This 1116-nucleotide ribosomal RNA is filed under the name Schaalia suimastitidis. RNAcentral describes it as "bacterial SSU rRNA". It matches the Rfam family "Bacterial small subunit ribosomal RNA", at positions 327 to 1441 of the family's 1533-position model. The record is from RNAcentral. Lineage: Bacteria; Bacillati; Actinomycetota; Actinomycetes; Actinomycetales; Actinomycetaceae.